UACGUAGGGUGCGAGCGUUAAUCGGAAUUACUGGGCGUAAAGCGUGCGCAGGCGGUUCUGCAAGUCAGAUGUGAAAGCCCCGGGCUCAACCUGGGAAUUGCAUUUGAAACUACAGGGCUAGAGUGUGUCAGAGGGGGUAGGAAUUCCACGUGUAGCAGUGAAAUGCGUAGAGAUGUGGAGGAAUACCGAUGGCGAAGGCAGCCCCCUGGGAUAACACUGACGCUCAUGCACGAAAGCGUGGGGAGCAAACAGG
Molecule: ribosomal RNA, 253 nt
Filed under: uncultured bacterium
Lineage: Bacteria
Description: partial 16S ribosomal RNA
Rfam family: Bacterial small subunit ribosomal RNA
Source: RNAcentral